CCUACGGGGGGCAGCAGUGGGGAAUAUUGCGCAAUGGGCGAAAGCCUGAAGCAGCGAAGCCGCGUGAGGGAUGAAGGUCUUCGGAUCGGUAACCUCUGUUUGCAGGGAAGAACGGUCACUGUGCUAAUCAGCAGUGAAUUGACGGUACCUGCAAAGGAAGCACUGGCUAACUCCGUGCCAGCAGCUGCGGGAAUACGGAGGGUGCGAGCGUUAAUCGGAAUUACUGGGAGUAAAGCGCUCGUAGGCGGUAGGUCAAGUCAAGGGUGAAAUGCCCGCGCUCAACGUGGGAACUGCCGUUGAAACUGGCAAACUGGAGUGUGGGAGAGGAUAGUGGAAUUCGAGGUGUAGGGGUGAAAUGCGUAGAUAUCUGGAGGAACAUCAGUGGCGAAGGCAGCUAUCUGGCACAUAACUGACGCUGAGGAGCGAAAGCGUGGGUAGCAAACAGGAUUAGAUACCCCAGUAGUC
Molecule: ribosomal RNA, 465 nt
Filed under: uncultured bacterium
Lineage: Bacteria
Description: partial 16S ribosomal RNA
Rfam family: Bacterial small subunit ribosomal RNA
Source: RNAcentral